AAUAAUAUAAAGAAUAAUAAUAUUGUUAUUUGAUUAAUAUAAGUCAUAAAAUUAAUUAGAAUUAAUUUGGUGACUUAAAGAGAUUAAUUAAAUAAGAGGGUAUAAACUGUCAAUUGUUUGAUAGUUAAACUUUAGACUGUAAAUCCAUAUUGGAUAGGGGUGGACGGAUUCUAGAAGCUAGGGAUAGCUUAAAAUCGUCCAAGUCUAUCUAAGGAAUGGAUUUGGAUUGCUUUAAGAGAAGAUUAUCCAACUAGGGUUUAAGCUGUAACCCUUAAGGAGUCUACAAGUAUAAAUAGACCAUAUGGCAAAGGGAAAUCGGCACUUCAUCUAAAGUAGAGAACCCCUGGCCGAAUUCCCUCCCCUCUCCUCUCUCCCAAAUCAUCCUCCUUGCUAUUUGGUGUUUCUAAGCCAUUAGAGGAUUGACAAUUGUGACUCUAGAAGCAACAAGACAACAAGAUCAAACAAGAGAUUCAAAGGUAUGAUUCUAGAUCUGAUUUAAUAUUGUUCUUAUACCUAAUUAGUAAUUAGAAGUCUUGGAUUCAAAGCAUUUUAAUUAGAAAGCCUAGAUCCAACCAUUAGGGUUUUGCAUGCGCACAUAGGAAAGUUCUUAUGGCUAAAACCCGUCAGCACCAUGUGUCCGCUUUGCAAUGCUUUCAUGGACUCUUAUAUUGAACUACUCAUUUGAUGCCUUCCAAGGUAUAAACUCUACUUAUGGUGUGAAAACAGGUCUCAAGAUAUUUUUGAAGUGAUUUCAAGGGUGCUAUUAUUGACCAUAUGGACGUAGAGGCACGGUAUGAUUUUCAAUAGCAAAGUGAAGAUAUUGUCUACUCUAACUUAUGAGGUCAAGAGUUUGAGCAUUUUAUGGCUUAAAAAUAAAGCUAAAUGGUGUAGGGAUUUGAUAUGGAACUCAUGGGCCAACAACCUUCUAUAUUGUACAAUGUAAUUCCUGCUUCUUGAAGUUCAAUUUAUAUAAAGUCUAGCCGUUAAAACAGCCUCAAUAAGAUCUCAUUUUAUUGGCAAAGAAGUGGGAAAUUACAUAUUCGGUUUUUUAUUAAUAGAAUGAAGGAAUUAGUAAGUAACAUCAACUCUUUUGUACCAAUGAUAAAGACUAAAAUGGUAAUCAAAAUGCGUCAAAAACCCAAAUGUUGUAAAAAAUUUCCUCAUAGUUGAGUUGUUUCGCAAGCAGCCUCCCCCAUGACUAACAAAUGAAGUGUUUCGACACACUCCCAAAAGUCUAUUAAACUAGAAGAAGCAUUGAAUCCGAGUACUCCUGAUCGCAACCUUGUCUUGGGAUUAUAAAUUUGGAACCCUUCCCCAUAAGUAGUGAGCAACAAAUUACACUCGUUGGUUGUUUGCGGUUGUGGUUGGAAUUGAAAAGCUCCAUCAACUGGAAGUUUACUUGUCUUGGGAUGGUUGAUAGUCUUGUCGUCAACCAGUCCGGAGCCAAUCCAGGAAAUGGAAUCAUACCAAAAACAUGAGUGCUCAAAUCGAAUGUCAGUAUACAAGAAAAGUCUAAGUCAAAAUGAUUUACCUCCCAAUGCAAUACUCCUUUGAAUAAAAAGGCCUCACGUCGCACAUAAGUAAACUCAGGUUUAGGGGAAGCAAUCUCACACCAAGUGCCUGUCUUCACCGCAUAAACAAAUGAACUGUCUUUUUCAUAUGAUAUCCAAACAAUUUUGUAAUCGUCAUUGAUUGGGUCAAAUCCAAACCCAAUACCUCCCAAAGCGAGUUCAGAACUCCGAGGACAUUCAGGCACUCUUACUUUGCGUCUGAUUGAAGGGUUCCAUAGAGUCAAACCAUUUUUCGUCUUCAAACAGAAAGUUCCAUUACAUGAACCAACAGUUCUGAACCUAUUGCUACAAGGAAACGGAAUUGUUGUUGUUAUACCAAUAUAUCCACGUUUGGGACACAAACACAAGGGCAAUUCGUCUUCUCCGUGUAAUGUAUAAACGACUUCUGCUAUUUUAUUAUUGUCAAUAUUUUCAUGCGUGAAGCGGAUUUUUUGUGGGGAUCGGAAUGUGUGCAAGCGUAUGAACUGGGGACUAGAAAUACAAGUAUAUAACGAUUUAGAGAGUGAUCUAAAUCGGAGGAGGGAUUUCGGUGGUAGUCUUGUAAAUAUUUCAACAAUCAACUCUUCGCAUAGAUAAUCUGUCAUCUGCAUUUUUCCAACAAUAUAAAAGUCAGUUGUAAUAGGGUGCAAUUACAAUUCCUCUCUGUUUGAAUAAGUUUAGAAUUCUUGUCAAUAUAUAUUCAUGUUUCUGUAAAUUGAUGAGGCAGAUGUACGUCAACUAAAAUUGACAGUGAAACUGAUGAGCAAGAGCAACUCCAACGUGAUCUAGUUCCAAUUUCAUGCAGCUAAAUUAACAAAUAAACUCAAACUGAGAUAAAAUUAAAAAAGUAACAUAGGGCAUUUAUAUGCUUAUUCUGAGGAUAUUUAAUUUCGCUUUUUUUAUGUGUAUAUAUAUAUAUAUAUAUAUAUAUAUAUACACACACACACACCCUAAUUAUGGUUAUUUGAAAAUAGGAUAUUNUAUAUAUAUAUAUAUAUAUUGGUGAUACAUUAAUUAUAUUUAGUUUUAUUUGUUAUAUUUGCAAUGGAUAAACUUACUAAAAUGCAAUGAACUGAUUGCGCAUGUCCUAUAUAUACAAAACAGAUAUUCAAAUGACCAAAGUUUGAUUGUCGUUAUGAUCAGUUACAUUAUCUAAUAUACUUUCAAAAAGAUAUCAUCAAUACAUGAUUAUAAUGUCAACGAAUCUGGAUAUCUUUACAGCCAUAAUAGCAUAAACUAUAAGGCAAACAAAAAAAAAAAAGAGAGAAGAUCUUAAAAGGGAAUUAACAAAACAACCCACCAGAGCAGACGAAGACGAGGAACGCUGAUCACGAUUGUUUGAAAUAGUUGUGGUAGGAAAAAAUACAUAAGGUAGUAAGUUGCUUUUUAAAAGGAGUGUUUGUCUUAGAUUAAGGGUAUUGUAAGGUAACACUGACUUUUACAAUUCAAAAAGUAACAAGGAGUUUAGAAAAGUUACAAAUUAUAACUUCUUAAAAUCUCAUUUUUAAGGGUUAAGGAGAAGUUGUUUUAAAAGUAUUUUCCUCUUUGCCAAACACAUUUUUUGACUUAUUGACUUUUGAAAAAGCCAAUAAGUCAAUAAGCUGUUUUGAGAUGAAAUCCCAAACAACCUUUUAGUAUUAAUAUGAAGGCUCAUUAUGGGAAAAUAUCAUUCUUAUAUGGUAUCAUAUUAAUUCCCACUCAAUUCUCAUUUUCGAUCUUGCAAGCCGUCGAUAACCCUACACCCCCGACUGGACCUAUACUUUCUUUUCUACCCACUAUCUAAUAAUCACCAUCUUCAUAUUAUUUCUUACCAUCUUCAUCCACCAUGGACACACACUCCUCAAGCUCAAAACCAUCACCAACGAAUCAGAAGCCUUAUGGUGUCACAAAAUGUUAAAACCUUUGUUCCUCUAUUAGUAGAUCUUAACUAACUCAAUGACGAUGCAUGGAGAGAGCUGUUUGAGACCUACUGUCGUGAGAUUAGUGUUCUUGCUUAUCUAAUGGGUUCAUCCAAACCUACUUCUGAAUCUGAUGAAGAUUUGCAUACCCUUGAUGUUGUGGUCAAAAUCUAGAUCUAUGGCACCCGCACCUAGUCACUCCUCAAUACCAUCCUCCAACCAUGUUCAACUGCCAACUUUGUUUGGGUAAGCCUUGAAAUCCUUUUUCGUGAUAAUAAAGAUUUGCUCUCUAUUUAUAUUGAUAAUGAAUUACAGGUCAUGACUCUAGGGGAUCAAACGAUAGUCGACUAUUGAGAAAAAAACCACCUUUUCUAACCUACUUGCCAAUUUUUAAAACGUAGUACCUGCAAGAACUCUUGUUACUCGUCUUCUAAAUGGUUUCUUGCCUCAAUAUGAACCCAUUGUUAUGAUCCUAUGCCCCAAAGACCAUUUUCUUUCAUUUCUCCAAGCCCGGUCAGCCCUUGUGGCAAAGGAACAACGGCUCAAGAGAAACCGCCAAAAACAACAACCAUCACACACCGAUCAUGCAUCCUCACCGACAGUCAUCUACACUACUAAUCAGUCCCAAUGGUCCAGAGCUUCUUGUGGUGCAUGUGAUAUCCCCAUUUUCACGGUCAGAAAAGAACGAUUUUGUUUAUGCUUUGUUUAAAAACCAGAGUAACAUUUUAAAUAAAAGUGUUUCGGAAUUUGUUCCCAUAAUAAAAUAUUAUAAAGAUUUAUCAAAGCAUUUCUAUAGAAAUGUAUUUCACUAAAAACCUCAGGAUGUCAUGUUCGAUACAGAUCAAAAGCCUAAACAGUACAAUAUAAGCCUUACUACAUUUAUUCAUAUUUACAAGCCUCCGGAAUGAGCCUCAACAGAAAAGAAGGAAACUUCCCUAUCUAGUUCAAGUCCUAAAACAACGGAUAUUAGAGAAGCUGUACGAGAAUAAAUAGCCAUAUCCCUAGGGGCACCUUCGAUCGAUACUGCCUUAGACCCUGCCCUUGGUCCUAAACCUGCUUACGCCGGAGAAGCCCUUACUUUUUUAGCUUGAAAGACAUCUCAGGAAAGAGCUACUUCAACUGAAGAAAUUUAUUUAGUAGCGAGAACCCUUCCUACUCGAGAAUAAGGUCAGGAAGUGAAGCGUCCAAUUAUGCUCAAGCGCCACUAACUGUAAUACAUGAAACUGAGUGGGUCAGACUUGGGAGCCUGGUGAGCUGUAGCACCUGGUUCCUGGUACGUAAUCCUUGUAAUUAAUAUUUCUUGAUUAUGCAUUUUUCCUUGGACCCGGCGAGUUGAAGGACCAACUCGCCGAGUAGAAGCGGGAUGAGACGCGGGGUCUAAGCUUUGGACUCGGCGAGUAGACCCUGUUUGGGCAAAAACCCUAAUCCGGGUGUUGGCACCCUAUUUAAACGCUCUAACUUGGCCUCCUUUGUCCCUAACACUUCCAGAGAGCUGUAGAGAGAAACCCUAGCCCCCAUAUUGUUCUUGAGAGUGAUUUUGGCUUUGUGAAGAAGGUUUGGAGCUUAGAAGAAGAAGGAAGAGGUUGAAGUGAGCAAGAAGGGGAGGUAGAUCCGGAAUCUACAUUGUGAGAAGCUUCCAUUCAGGUAGAAAAGUUCUUACCUUGAUCACUAGUUCAUUAGAUUCCCUUUUUGUCCCAAAUUAGUGGUUUUCAAGCCCUAAAACCUCAAGCUCCAUGUGUUAUGCUCUAUGUUCUGAAAGGACUUUAGAUUUGGACCUUAUGGACACCUUGGAAGUGUAAAGUCUCUGUGGUUGGGGUUAUUGAGGUCCCUAUUGGGUGUAGGACCUCUUAAAGAGCUUGGAUUUGCCUUUUUGAGCUUAUGGGGCCAUGCAUGCACGUAAAGUUUGCAACUUUAUGUGAUAAGCAUGCCCUAGGAGCAUAGAUCUAUGGUUUAGAAGCGUUGCAUGUCUCAGAUUUGGUCUGUAUGGGAAGUGGGUCGAAGGGACUCGGCGAGUCCCAAAGUGGAACUCGGCGAGUUCUAUGAAGAUGGUCUUAGACUCGGCAAGUUAGAGGAACAACUUGGCGAGUCCUAUGAAGAUUGCCUGGAACUCGACGAGUUGUUCUUCAAACUCGGCGAGUCAUAUGAAGUGUUACUGAGUAAGAGGGGUUUAAGUGUUGAAGGUCCAACCCUUCGUAUCUGCAUGCGGAAUUAGCAAUUUAACGUGUAUCAAUAGUCCCAGAAACCCAAAUCCUCAUAAGGGAUGCUCUGGUGAGCAUUUGGAAGCGAGUAGGAGGUCUGCUCGUGGGGACUCGGCGAGUUGUUCUUGGACUCGGCGAGUCGGAUCGCGAGUCGGUUCUAUAGUCCCGAGUAGUAAGUUAAGGGUGACUCAGUGAGUGGGAAGGGGGACUUGGCGAGUAGGACCGGGUUAGUAGGAGAAGGACUCGGCGAGUCUGUGCCAUGACUCGGCGAGUCCAGUCAACUGGAAGUUGACUUUGACCAAGGAGUUGACCUUGGACCAGGGGUGGGUCAGUCGAUUAACCUAAGGGUAUUUAUGAGGGGCUGAUCUAUGUUUAUGGAUUUGUAGCCGGACGAUUACCGGUGCAGCAGUCAGACGUUUAGCAGUCAGACUUUCGGUAGCUACUUUUCGAAGUGAGUUUCCUUCCAGUAGGAACGGGUCUAAGGCACCAAGGCCGACCCGUAUAGACGAUAUGAUAGUAUCGGAGUGUGGGCUAAGCUCGUAUCUCAUAGUUGAAUUUGAUUAUGUUAUAUGCCAGUAUGAUAGAAUUGCUUAUACUUGUUGUAUGUGUGAUACUUGUAUGUUAUGGUUUAGUAGCUGAGUGUGGGCGAGGUCCGUAUCUCUCAGAUAGCGGAGUGUGGGCGAGGCCCGUAUCUCUCAGAUGGCGGAGUGUGGGCGAGGCCCGUAUCUCUCAGAUGGCGGAGUGUGGGCGAGGCCCGUAUCUCCAUGAGUGUGGGCGAGGCCCGUAUCUCCUAGAUGUUCAUUGUAUGAUUGUAUGGUAUGAGGUAUUGUGGGGGAACUCACUAAGCUUCGUGCUUACAGUUUAUAGUUUUGGUUUCAGGUACCUCUUCAGCGAAGGGGAAGGAGCUGGCACGGUAGCGGCCCAUCAUGCACACCUCUUGUUUUCCGCAUUAAGAAAUUGUUCUGGGAUUUGUACUCUGACACUAUGGUUGCCCCCAUGUUUUGGUUUCCAGACACGUAAUAUGUUUUAAGAAAUGAUAUGAUCGAAUGUUGUUUAUUUUCAAAUGUUUGCAAAGUGUUUAAUUAAAAAUGAAAUUUUUGGACUUGAAAAAUUGGGUCGUUACAAGUUGGUAUCAGAGCCCUGGUUUGAGGGAUUCGGACACACCCUCGGGGAUGUCUAAACUCAAGUCAAGGGAAUAAAGGAUUUCGGAAAAGAAAAGUUUUCUAAGGGAUUAAGUAAAGAGUUUUAAGAAAGAACGAAGUGUAUGAUGUGCGCGACCGGCCGAGCUCAAGUAAGUAUUCCCCAAAAUACCCAUACAAGUUUAUGUUAUGUUUAACAGUUUCAGUAGAACAGCAUGCUAGAAUAGGACUAAGGAUCUAGGAGUGAUGCCUUACGUGCCUGCUAUAUGUGCUUCAGCUUAUGAGAAUUGCGUGCUAGCAUUGAGUAGACAACAUUAGGAUAGCCUGUUUAGGUUAUGCCUGAUAGUAUGUGUUUAGCAUUGUAUGCUAGAUCAGUUUCUCUCUAUGAGGACAGGUUUGGUUGAGGUAGUUCCCUUUUGUCUAAAUGCUGCUUGCUUUGUGCUUUGUGGGGCUCUGAGUGAUGGGUGUGAGCCAUUAGGUGAAUAUGUCAUGUCACAUGUGACCAGGGUUGGAUAAACUUAGAGUGCUGGAUUUGGCCCUAUUGCGCAGUUCUCGUUUGAGUCUAACUGUUGUAGGGACAAGUCUGUUACUCGAAAGAAUAUAUGAGACUCAUCACAUGUGAUGGUAUUCAGGUGAUGGCUAAUUGGCAUUACAAGGAGGCCUUCAGCAGCUGAGGCCCAGGUAGGGUGGAGUCAGUGAUUUCCCUAGGGCAAGCCUAGGAUGAGUAUACCAGUGAUCAGCAGUAGUGAAAGGGAUCUGAUGGAGUCGAGGCAGUCCUUGAAGAAGGUACGGAUAGAUGUGGAAGGUAGUAUGGGCCCGUACUACUAAAAGCAUAGGAUCCAUACCCGAACUAAGGAAGGCUGAGACAAGACCGGGGAACUUGAAAUAGAUGUGAUCCCUUUAGAGGUAUCAGUAUCACUAAUGGUUGCAUGUGUGUAUUGCAGAAUGGUGGUACUACGCCAGAGGCCAGCUGGUGGCAGUUCUGGAGAGCGAUCGGGUUCGGGAUCAGGUUCCGAGCCAGUGGAUGAGAGGCUACGCGAGUUCAUCACGUCAGAGAUCACCAGAGGCAUCCUUGAGUCGACCCCCAUCAUUUUCGGGUCGAUUAAGGAAGGGAUAUUUGAGCUGAUGGAGGACCGCUUCAGNCCGCUUCAGGGUUCAGGAGUGACAUGACAUCUGGCCAGUCAGUAUCUAGCACACUGUCCUUUAAGGACUUCAGGGGCAGUGGUGCGCCAGAUUUCCAUGGGGCGAAGGACCCCAUUGCUUCCAGACGAUGGAUUGCGGACAUUGAGUCCGCACAGCUGACUAGCUUCUGCCACAAGGGGUCGAAGGUGAGAUACGCAUUGUUGAAUUAGCCAAAUUUUACCUACUAGAGUCGGUCACCUAGUAGGUAAAUUAUAUAUAUAUACAUAUAUAUAUUUUACCGAUGAAAACAUUGUGUAUGUAUUUGUACCUUUAUACAUAUAAAAAUGUUAUAUAUCUAAAAAUAUACAUAUAAAAACGUAUAAAAAUCCUAUUAAUAUCUCUAUACGUGUAAAAAUGUUAUAUACGUAUUUAUAGAUACAAAUACGUAUAAAUUGCAUUAUAUACCUAUUAAUAAGUAACAUAAAUAAAAAGCAUACAAAUAUUUAUACACAAUUUUAAAAUGAAAAAUGCAUAUACCUAUAUUUAUAUACCUUCACAAAUUUUUUUAUAUAGUAUUAAGUGUCUUUAUUUAUUUUAAAGGUAUAAACACAAUUUUAAAUAAACAAAUGCGUUUCUUUUACAUAUAAAAUACAUUUAUAAAUUCAUGAAAUAAUAAUAUUAAUAAUAAUAAUUAUAAUCAUAAUAACAUGUUAGAUAUUAAGUAUAAUCUUUCUAGAAUGUUUUCAAGCAAAUUUUGUUGUUGCUUCACAUGUGCCGCCACCGUCUCCACCUCCGGUUGCUUCACCUUUGUCGCCUUCGCCUCUGGAAUCUUCUGCAUGUAAAAUUUUCUUUUUCUCUUGUUAUGUAUUUCAAGUUUAAUGUUUGAAAAUCGAGUAUGUUUCCCCGUAAUUUGAGUAUCAGAUAAUUGUUGCUCUUUUUUUUUACAGUCAAAGUUGUUUUUUUUUUCUAAAUUCAAAGCAUCUUUUGAAGUCGUUCCACCAAACUAGAACCUUACUUUGAGGUUAGUUGUGGUUCAGUUUUAAUUUAUGAUAAUGUGUUGAUUUCUGAAAUAUAUUGGUUGAUUUCUGAUUGUGUUUAUUUGGUGAAAUAUAUUGUUGAGAAUGUGUUACUAGUUUCUCAUUGUUCUUUUUUAUUGAAAAUGUGUUCCUAGUUGCUAAUAUAAGUUGUUGAUUUUGUUUAUUUGCUAAAAUUUGUUGGGGAUCUUGUUAUUAUGUGUUGAAUUGUCGUUGACAUCUGUUGUUGAUCUUUGAAAUUUGUUUGUGUUGCUAGUGAAAUCGUAUGCUUUGCUUUUUCUUUUUCCUUCUGAAAUAUGAUAAUAUUUUGCUGAUGAAAUCAUAUGCUUUGAUGUUUUGCUUGAUGAAAUCUGAAUAUUAGCAUGUUAUGGAUUCACUAAAUGAAAGUACAAUGUUAUAUCUUGAACAUGUGGUGUCUAUUAGUAGAGGAUAUUUCAUACCUACAAGUUUAUGGAGUUCAUUAACAUUAGAUUUGUUAUGGAUGGUGAUGGUUCUAAAAGAUUUCACAAAGCAACGAAAACAUGAGCUUUGGGUAUAAUCAAGAAAUGAUAAUGUUAUGCUUGAUUUGGAUUUAUGUUUAAUCUGGAUUUUAUAUGGUGUUUGGAAAUUUUUUAUAAUUAUUCAAGAAGUUUAUUCAGUUAUUUUAUAAAAAAAAUGUUAAAUUUAGCAAAAAAUAACAUAGAAUGGUAAAAUGGCAAUUUUAUAAUUCAGCACUACAAUUCAGAGGUUCCAACCAAACAACAUUUGAAAAUUCAGAUGUUAAAAAUUCAGACCCUCUUAGAAAUUCAGGCCACUUAAAAAUUCAACUCUUAUAAAUUCAAAUCCUGCCAAACAACCUUUUACGCCCUCCUCCAUUUCUAGUCAAUUACUUUUGUUUUUCUCCCUUGAAUAAAGCAACGCUCCGACCCAACAAGUUCAUCCCAUUAGCUAAGGUGUGACCGUUCUUUAAAGGUAAACUCCUGCUAUAGGGUAAAAAUGAACAAACUUGUUGAGUGUGUCAGCUAAGGUGUGGCCUCCCUUUAAANGGUUUACUUGUUACCUGAGAAUACAAGUAUUUUGAAAAACGUCAACAUAUGAAAUGUUGGUGAGUUCAUAAGCGGUAUUUGAAAUCAACGUUUUGUAUUAUUUGAAAACCACCAGAAAAUCCGAUAUUUUCUGAAAAGAGUUUCUGAAGAUCCAUAAGUAUGCUUGUUUGUUUCUAUAGUUGUAAAAAGUGUUCAUAAAACUUGUGUACAUUUCGAAACUGUAUGUAUUGAAAAACCCUAGGAAAACCCGAUGUUUUCCUAACACUUUGAAUUCCAUGUAGUUGUUGUACCAUCGCGGCAUGUGAAGUCAUUGAUUCCAGGCGACGUCGGAUUAUUGCGCAUUGUGAAUUAUUAUAAACACGCGUUACGUAAACGACCAGUUUACAAUUAUACAAACGAUCCCGUAGGCGUCGUCCAUACUAUUCACGUAAUCCAACCGCCCUGACUUCUUGUAGUCCCGCAUCCGAAGAGAAAGAGGGCACGAAGACCUCGAUAACUCCAUUAGUCGGUCGGGGAUAAAAUGAGUACGAAGGGCCCUUGGCCCACUUGCAUGUGAAUAACCGACUUUACUAGCAGUACCAAAGGACCCUUGGGGACCAAUAGUGAAAAGCCAUUGAAAGUCCUUUUACGCUGUGUUGGAUCAUGUAAGACCCAACAACUCGUAAGGUUGAAGUCUUCGGGCCUAAAGAUCAGGUCAUUGGGCUAGCUAGGCCCAACAAACAAGAUUUUACACUUUGGGGCCCAAAGAUGGUGCGUCGACGUCUGUGCACUCUCACGUGUGUAUUGAAUUCCCAAAUAUUACUUGUAUGAAUCGAGUUAUCGUCGUGUUAGUAGUUUCGGGUUUGUUAUUGAUUCGAGACCGAACCAAUUCGUUUGAUAACGAUUUUUUUGGUGUUGUUGUGUAUUGAAAUUCGUCGAUAGUCGUAGUGCCAUUAUUUGUUCACAACGGAUGUAUUGAAUUAACAUUGAAAAUUUUCUACUUACAGCCCCUCUUUGUUUGGUAAAUUUACUUUUUCAACCCUUGGAAUAAAUAAAUUUCCGGUUUAGUCCUUAAACCAUUUUUCUUGUCAUUUUAACACCAAAACUUAUUGCAAUUGACAUUUAUCAGCAUAUUCUUAGUUGAAAACAGUUUUAGUCCCUGAAAAUACUGUUUUCUCGGUUGUAGCCCCUCUUUUUCGUAGUUUUUACAUUUUUGGCCCAAAUUGGAAAAAUUUUGCAACUUUGGUCCUUUUUAAUUUUGAAAAGCAUUUUAAACCUUAGAAAAGGGUUUGGAACACUAAUAGUCCACUGUUUUACAGAAAAAUACAGUUUUAGCCCCUCACAACAGAAAAUUUCGCAUAAUGGGCCCUAUUGGGCCAAAAAUGUCAUUUUUAGCCCAUUAAGCUUGAAAUUUAUAUUUUUAAUCCACCAAAAGAAUAUAUUUCCAGAAAACAUUUUAUUGAAACUGUUUUGACUACUCUCAUCCAUCAGAAUUCGCAAUAUGUCAAUUUGGGCCCUUUAACUUUAUUUUUUUAACAUUUUGUGCCCAAAAAUGAGUUUUUAGCCCAAAGAAGAUGUUAUGUGGCCACUUAACUAUUUUUCUUGGAAUACUUUGUAUGUUGUGAUAUAAUUUAUGCUAAUAUCAUUUAACAUAACUUACAUCUCGAUUUUUAGGAAUUUAUGGCUAGAUCCAACAUCAUAAUCACACAAAAACACACAUAUAAGCAUAGAAAUCAUACAAGGCAUACAAAACACAUAUAUAUCUACACUUUCACUUGUAUUCCCCCCCAUAAAACUUAUAAAACAGAAAAAUAGGGAGUACGAAGCUCACCUUAGGGUGUAGUUUCGGUUCUUGAAGAAAAGAUGGAAGAAAGUUUGGUGAUUUUUGGCCCUAGCACCCCUUGAUGAAGAUCUCGAGUUUAUGGAGUUUUCUAGGAGUAUGAUCACCAAAGAAACUUGUUUAGAAUAAGUGAUCUUAUAUGAGAGGGGAGUUUUGUAACUUAGACAUGGAAAAACUUACCAAAGGAUGAUGAUUAUCUUGUAAAAUCCUCUAGAAACACAAGCAAAAUUUUGAGAUUUUGAAUGGAGAGGAAGAGAGAAGUCUUGAGUGGUUUAGAGAGAUUUUUGUGAGAUGUGUGUGUGUGUGUGUGGAGACUCUCGGCCAAAGGAAAAGAAAGAGGGGGAAGAGAAAUGAGUGAAGUGAUAGGUGCAUGCAAACAUGUGUUUGUGCAUGGAGAUCCAUGAGAGAAUAAAGAGGUGGCAAUGAAAGUCAAACCUUCUUCAUUUCUUCUUGGAUUUGGGCCUUGGGCCGAGAAUUUUGAAGGAAAAGGAAAAUUUGGGCUUUUAUGCCCUCAAGCCCAUGUAGAAGUUAGGUUGGAUGAGUUUUAACCUAAAAGAAAUAUAAUAUGAUUUUCACACUUUGUUGGGCUAGUUUAAGUUAAUCAUGGUUCAAAACUUUUAAUUUAUUUCAUUCUAGGCCCAAUAUGGCCCAAAAUGUUGAAAUAAAUGUAUGUGGGUCCAAUUAGAGCCCAUUUAAGGGUUCUAAGCCCAUGAUAGUCAAAUUGGAAGCUUAUUGGUUCAUUGAGUCCAAUAAGGAAGUCCUAGUCCAAAAAUGGACCUAAACAAGAACUUCUAGGGUUUCCAAUUGCUUGUUGACUAUUUGUAGUACUUGUAUGAUGUAUUUGAUUGAAGUUUUUGAUGUCAUAUAAUAAGCAUCACACAUGCUUUUAAGUUUUUGGUUCAACAUUUUACUUGAGUAUAGUGAUUACAAGACACAAAAUUUCUAGUUGUGACAACUUAAAAAUUCAACUCUUAUAAAUUCAAAUCCUGCCAAACAAUCUUUUACGCCCUCCUCCAUUUCUAGUCAAUUACUUUUGUUUUUCUCUCUUGAAUAAAGCAACGCUCCGACCCAAAAACUUCAUCCCAUUAGCUAAGGUGUGACCGUUCUUUAAAGGUAAACUCCUGCUAUAGGGUAAAAAUGAACAAACUUGUUGAGUGUGUCAGCUAAGGUGUGGCCUCCCUUUAAAUGAAAAAUCUAGCUAGGGGGUAAAAAUGAACAAAUUUGUUGAGUGUAGAGGCUUGAUUUGCUUAUUGGAGUUAUCAUAAGCAUGGCUACGUAUUGGUAGUCCGCUUAAGCAAGUUGCGUAUGGCAAUUAACAAGCACGGGGAAACACGGACAAUCGGAAGGGCUUAAACCAAUAGUCAUUGUUUUACCAUUUAGACGUAGACUAUGAUUUACUAAUAGUUAGCAAAGCAGUAAAAUAUAAUAACAAUAUUUAUAUUUCGGUACAACUAAUUAUUUUAACUUUACAAAAAUUUAUUUUACAGAAUUAAUAAUUAUACAUUGACAAUUAGCAGAUCAAAUUAUUUUCAAUAAUUUUAAUUUUUCUUAAAUCUUUAUAAUAUUCUUUUAUUUAAAUAAAUAUGAGCUUAGAAACUAACAAACAUCAAAUAAGAUUGUGUUUCUAUUUUAUAGUUAGUUAUUUAUAUGCAUAUAUAGAAAUGCGUAUAUCAUGAACAUGGGGCCAAAUGGUUAGUCAACAAAUAAAACCAAUCUAUUAUAUAUAAAAUCAGUAUUAAAGAGGUCAAAAAUCAGGGGGCCAUGGCCCCCUAUCUUAGAGGCUCCGCUAGGGGUGAGCGCGGUGCGCUUAUUAGCUAAAAUCUCACCACUAACCGCAAAUGAUGUUAAUCCAUUUUCAAAACCGCAUGGUGCGGUUAUUUUUGCGGUACGGUUAGGCGGUUAUUUUUGCGGUGCGGUUUUGUUUUUUUUUUUUUUUUAUGUUGCGGUUAUUAACCGCAUGAAUUUUGUGUCGUUAUUUUGUGUGGUUUUUAACCACAGUUUAGAGCUUAAACGGUUUUAAGAGUUUAAACAUAUUACUUAUAGUAAUAUAAAAAACCUUAAGGUAUAAGAAAAUUAACUUAAAUCACAAAAAACUAAUAUCUUAAAAACAUCAAAUCAAUAGUAAGUAACAACAAAUAUCUUAAAAUUGUCUAAUUUCACAUUUUUUAAAGUUAAACAUAAAAUACUUUUGUCUUCUAGUAUUUAUCCAUCUUUCAUCCAUGAAACCUAUUUUAUUUUUAAUAGUUAAUAUGUUAAUAAUUAAUAAAAAAAUUGUAUAUAAUAUAUACGGUGCGGUGCGGUUUUUUUUUUGCGGUUUUUGAAAACUAAUAACCGCACCGCACCGUAAGUUCGCGGUUUUUGGAAAAAAGAAAAUCUCACCAUCGGUUUUUAUUGCGGUUGCGAUUUAUGCGGUUUUUGCGGUUAAUUUUUGUUGCGGUGCGGUUUUUGCUCACCCCUAGGCUCCGCCCCUAUUAGCAAGAGGCUAUUUAUGAGUAAUCAACCAUUAUUCCAUAAGCGGGCAACAAAUGCUCAAGCAACAUAACAUGUUUUCUUUGAGAGCAAGUUUUGACUCGCACUGGGACCAAUUUUGCCAGCAUUGACUUCGGCCCAUGAUUUUUUUGCCCAUUAUUAUUAGGUCAACCACUCUAUAAAUAGUCUCAUUUAUUUUAAUCCUAAUGUAUUUUACGAAAUAGCUUUCUACGAUAGGAAGAAAUAAAUCUGUCUCUCUCUCUCAUGUUUGUCAUAGAUAUAACUGGUCAUUCAUGUGGUCAUAUAGUUAGAGAAUCCAAUUUCUAAUUUGUAUGAUGCACAUUAGAUUCGAGCUUGCCUACAUGAAUAACAUACAAUCAAAACAAGACCAUUAAUGCACAUCAAGUACUCAUUAAAUUGAAUGAGAAAGGCUGGAUUAAAAAAGUCUAAUGGUUGGAAAUCUGAGGUAGAAAAAUGAAAUAAUGUCCUAAAUCAUUUGAAUUAUUUUUAAGUUUUUUUUUUUGAACGGCAAAUAUAAUAUAACCUAUCUACUCCUAAAAUACCCCUUAAUUCCAUGUAUGUCCACAACGAGACUUGAACACUCAACCUCAAGGAGGAGGGCAACACCAGAUACCGUUGAGAUAGAAGCUCUUUGGUAAUUUAAUUUAUAAGAAUAUAGGUAGCAAAAUUACAAUUAUUUCCACAAUACUUUAGAAAUCAUUAGGGCCAACAACAUGUAGAAUCAAGAUGACAAAAAGACAUUAUUAUAAACAAAUGCAGCAUAUUUUUAUUACCUUUCGACUGUUGACAAUGAAAAACGUUAGCCUCAUUGGUCUAAGGUAGUUCCAACAAAAUAAACGUCCUCAUUUGGCGGCUGAGACUUGAUAGAUUGUCCACCUGGUUCAACCUCGCACGUAGGGGGUAAUCAUCGCAUGCACCAUGUGUCCGCUUUUUAAUGUUUUCAUGGACUCCUAUAUUGAACAACUCAUUUAAUGCCUUCCUAGGGAUAAACUCUACUUAUGGUGUGAAAACAGGUCUCAAUAUAUUUUUGAAGCGAUUUCAAGGGUGCUAUUAUUGACCAUAUGGACAUACAGGCACGGUAUGAUUUUCAAUAGCAAAGUGAAGAUAUUGUCUACUCUAACUUAUGAGGCCAAGACUUUGAGCAUUUUAUGGUUAAAAAUAAAGCUAAAUGGUGUAGGGAUUUGAUAUGGAACUCAUGGGCCAACACCUUCUAUAUUGUACAAUGUAAUUCCUGCUUCUUGAAGUUCAAUUUAUAUAAAGUCAAGCCGUUAAAACAGCCUCAAUAAGAUCUCAUUUUAUUGGCAAAGAAGUGGGAAAUUACAUAUUCGGUUUUUUAUUAAUAGAAUGAAGGAAUCAGUAAGUAACAUCAACUCUUUUGUACCAAUGAUAAAGACUAAAAUGGUAAUCAAAAUGCGUCAAAAACCCAAAUAUAUGAUGUAAAUUUUUUCCUCAUAGUUGAGUUGUUUUGCAAGCAGCCUCCCCCAUGUCUAACAAAUGAAGUGUUUCGACACACUCCCGAAAGUCUAUUAAACUAGAAGCAGCAUUGAAUCCAAGUACUCCUGAUCGCACCCCUGUCUUGGGAUUAUAAAUUUGGAACCCUUCCCCAUAAGUAGUGAGCAACAAAUUACACUCGUUGGUCGUUUGCGGUUGUGGUUGGAAUUGAAAAGCUCCAUCAACUGGAAGUUUACCCGAAUCCAAGUAUCAUCAACAUCCAUACGAUAAGAAAUCAAAGCUAGAGAAUCUUGGAUGGUUGUUAUUCCUGUUGUUAGCCAAUCCCAAGUGGGUCCAGGCAAUGGAAUCAUACCAAAAACAUGAGCACUCAAAUCGAAUGUCAGUAUAUAGGAAGGAGGAUAUAUGUCUUGUGAUUUGAUAUGAUCACGAGUUACUUCCCAAUGUAACACUCCAUUGAAUAAAAAAGUCUCAUAUAACACAGAAGUAAACUCAGGUUUAGGGGAAGCAACUUCACACCAAGUGCCCGUCUUCACUGCAUAAACAAAUGAACUGUCUUUUUCAUAUGAUAUCCAAACAAUUUUGUAAUCAUCACUGAUUGGGUCAAAUCCAAACCCAAUACCUCCCAAAGUGAGUUCAGAACUCCGAGGACAUUCAGGCACUCUUACUUUGCGUCUGAUUGAAGGGUUCCAUAGAGUCAAACCAUUUUUAGUCUUCAAACAGAAAGUUCCAUUACAUGAACCAACAGUUCUGAACUUAUUGUUACAAGGAAACGGAACUAACCAAGGUCCUGCCCUCUGCAUCUGACCUAAGUCCGGAACUAACUGCCUCGGACCGAAGUCCAGAACUAACUGCAUCAGGCCUAAGCCUGGAACUGACUGCAUCGGACCAAAGUCCGGAACUACUGAACAUAACAUAGCACGCACAUAUCAACUAGCAUAACAACAUGGACUGCAUACUGAGUCGGGCCAUACCCGAAACACAUAACACACAAAACCUGUCUGAGCCACGAAGGCAUCAAACAUUCUAACUACUGCAUCGGACCGAUGUCCGGAAACUACUACUAAUUAAUCAGGCCGGCAUUGUGGCCUUAGACCCGUUCCUACUGGAAGGAAACUCACCUCGUAGCCUAGCUGCUGAAAGAACUGCUCCGGAAUCUGUCGGCUGUGGCACCGGCUUCACCCUGGCUACAAUUUUCAUAAGUACCCUCAAUCAAAUACUGAUAAUAAUACUGAGGGUAAAAAGACUAUCUUACCCUCGGUCAAAGUCAACCUAUCGGUCAAAGUCAACAUUCAGUUGACCUGACUCGUCGAGUCCUUACUCUCACUUUCUUGCUUCAGCUCGUUACUACUCGUCGAGUUUGGCAUAGACUCGACGAGUUCCUCUUCAAAACUAACACUCAGUCAAUUUGCAUCCGACUCGCCGAGUUGUAUGCACAACUCGUCGAGUUCUCCUUCAACAUAUGAACACUCUGACUGNAGUGUUAUGAACACCUCGUCGAGUCUAUUCUUGAGGCAUGAAGAUUUCCUUGGACUCGCCGAGUCAGGGCAUUGACUCGCCGAGUUCUUCCACGAAUGAGUCUAACCUCUAUCUCAUUGAGUCCAUCUCUCACUCACUAGUUCCACUCAGCAUAACUCGAAAAGGUGGAAAACAGGGGACUCGCGACUCGACUCGCCGAGUCUGAAGAACGACUCGCCGAGUCGUAUACAUGCAAACCCUAUAUACUCGAUUUUGCUUGAAUCCAGUUCAUUACAUUCAUAGAUCUGGGUUCUUAGGGCUUGAUUAACACAUAAAGUUNNNNNNNNNNNNNNNNNNNNNNNNNNNNNNNNNNNNNNNNNNNNNNNNNNNNNNNNNNNNNNNNNNNNNNNNNNNNNNNNNNNNNNNNNNNNNNNNNNNNCUAUGGCAAAGGGAAAUCGGCACUUCAUCUAAAGUAGAGAACCCCGAGCCGAAUUCCCUCACCUCUCCUCUCUCCCAAAUCAUCCUCCUUGCUAUUUGGUGUUUCUAAGCCAUUAGAGGAGUGACAAUUAUGACUCUAGAAGCUCCAAGACAACAAGAUCAAACAAGAGAUUCAAAUGUAUGAUUCUAGAUCUGAUUUAAUAUUGUUCUUAUACCUAAUUAGUAAUUAGAAGUCUUGGAUUCAAAGCAUGUUUAAUUAAAAAGCCUAGAUCCAAG
RNAcentral lists this long non-coding RNA (17896 nucleotides) under Lactuca sativa (garden lettuce). Its description in RNAcentral is "long non-coding RNA (LSAT_LNC007684)". Lineage: Eukaryota; Viridiplantae; Streptophyta; Magnoliopsida; Asterales; Asteraceae. The record is from RNAcentral.